RNAcentral lists this long non-coding RNA (1094 nucleotides) under Spirodela polyrhiza (greater duckweed). Its description in RNAcentral is "long non-coding RNA (SPOL_LNC001736)". The record is from RNAcentral. Lineage: Eukaryota; Viridiplantae; Streptophyta; Magnoliopsida; Alismatales; Araceae.
UCGACACCACAGCAUCUCCCUUCCCCCGCAGAACAUCCCCUCGCCACCACAGUGCCUCGCCUCCUGAUGGCGACGUCUCCCUCCCCAUCACAGUGCUUCUCCACGCAAUCAGAGCAUCUCCCCACGCAACCAGAGCAUCUCCCCAAGCCGGCGCAGCUACAGCAGGUCGAGGUCGCCCUCAUACAAGCGUGCCAGUGACGAGUCCCCCUACGCCAACGGGUAAGCUUUCAAUGCCUGAUCUUCAUCGUUCCUUGGCAUUCUAGUGGAGGCUAGGGGCUCACCGCUUCUGCCAUGCCGUGCAGCAACUCUGACGGGCGGGCCGAGCGCCGCAGCAGGAGCUGAGCGCCAGGGAAUGUCGUCUGUUCAAUGGACAAGCGCGCUUCCUCUGCAUCUGAGUAAAUGCUUCCCAACCAUCCCACUGCCCUGGGUUAGGACGUGGUUUAAUUUCCUGCAUGUCGCUCUAUAUUUUAUCAUGCUCGGCUUCUUCUCGUUGGUAAAAGUAUUUCUGAUUUUAAAGACUGGUUGGCUGUGACUGAGAUCUGUAAUCUCUGUUCUUCAUGUCUGUUGAUGAGGUCGUCGUCCCACCUAAAAGACUGCCCAGCCUUGCCGCGUCACCACCCUUUGACUCUGCUCCUCCCUCCUGGCCUCGUUCUUGCCACCUCCGCCGUAAAAGAGGAGCUCUCUCCGGCGCUCGCCCUCAGCCCUGCCCCAUAAAAACUCAUAGAAGAGGUCGGGGCGUGGGCUGCUCCAAGCGCGCCGGCAGGUAACUGGAAUCUGCUUUGAAAUCAGGUUCUUCACCUUCUCACUUGGCCAGCUACAGGGCCCCGGGAUCUGCUGGACAGCUCUCUCCCCAGCACCGUCGGCCCUCCAAAAGAUGACAAGGAACACACCUCCUCUGCGUCUUCUCAGUUCUGUCGGCGGCGCCAGAGGGGUUGACCAACCGGUGCCCAGUCCUUUCUGGGCAAGGAGGGAGAAAGUCGUCUCUUCUAAAAGGGGGGGGGGGGAGGGGAGCGUAGGAUUUCGCAGAGGAUUCAAUGCGGAAUUAUUCAAGAUUCGGUUCACGUAAAAUAUACAUUAUUUAGUUACACAUUCAU